AAUACAAGGGAUUUUGAGUUUUCGUUUGCACUGUUUGACCACUCGUCUUAUUCAAAAAUUUUUGGAAUUAUUAUUUAUUUUUUUUGACUUACUUUAUUAUCCAAAGUACUUUAAGCACAACUUAUCGUUUUUUAUAUUUGUAUAAUUUUUUUGAAUAAGACGAGUGGUCAAAUAGUGCAAACAAAAACUCAAAAUCCCUUAUA
Non-coding RNA from Oryza nivara, 203 nucleotides. The record is from Rfam. NCBI's taxonomy places the organism in Eukaryota, Viridiplantae, Streptophyta, Magnoliopsida, Poales, Poaceae.